This 347-nucleotide transfer-messenger RNA is filed under the name Polyangiaceae. Its description in RNAcentral is "JADJKB01 sp023150915 Standard tmRNA". It matches the Rfam family "transfer-messenger RNA". Rfam says of the family: Bacterial tmRNA, also known as 10Sa RNA or SsrA, is named for its dual tRNA and mRNA-like properties. Its role is to liberate the mRNA from a stalled ribosome. RNAcentral also lists the same sequence under 1 other name. Lineage: Bacteria; Pseudomonadati; Myxococcota; Polyangiales. The record is from RNAcentral.
GGGGGCGAUCGGUUUCGACGUGGGGACUGAAGGUUAAUCUGCGUGUGCUGGCACUCGGCCCAGUUCAAAACCGAGCCGUGCUAAUUGCGAACGACAACGCAAUCGCUCUCGCGGCCUGAAAAACCGUGAAGCCGUCCAACCGUGAGAUAGUCCUGCUAGCGGAAGGGCGUCAGCACUAGGGCUGGGCCACCCGAGGAAGCCCUCGAUAGGGUGGCCGAGAAAAAGUGAGGGAUAGGUCGUGGCCGAAUCCACGAAGCCCGGUCCCGGGGUCAAUUGGGACUACGCACGUGAACGAAGGUUAGCUGGACGCCUCGCGGACCCGGGUUCGAUUCCCGGCGCCUCCACCU